GACUCAAAAAUUUGAGGGUCAAAACAAGUCCAUCAAAUCUAGAGUACGUUCGACCUUGAUGAUAUGGGAUACUAUUGCUGUUGACGGAAUAAUGAAUGUGGUAUGGAAAGGUGUCGUGCUGUAGUGAUCUGUUUCAGCCCACCGUUGAACCUUCUGCUUCAAUCUUUUGCAUGGCAGAAGUGGUGUGCAACCUUUGCAUUUAAAUGGUCAUUCAGAACAUUCCUUCAUAUUGACUCAUUCACGCUUGGCAGCUUCAGUGUAAAGAGCCAAUAUCUGAUCAACUGUCAUGAGGUAUUUGCCGGUGGAAUUCGUGACCUUGACAGCAGUUGAGGAUGAGUACUCGAGAGCAAUGCUAAGUAAGCGACCAGGCAAAGGCUCCAGGCAGUCAGUUCCAAAUUGGAGGUUUGAUUUCAGGUUCCGACUGACUGCUCUCUUUCUCCUUGUCCUGCAGGUGUGAACAAGGACAAAGACAAAGACAGGGAGAAAGCAUGAUAUGGGAUACUCUUGCUUUUCGACCCUGAUGAUAUGAGAUACUCUUGUUCUUGGUGUGGCUUUAUUUGCUGAGGUAUUAUCGGGGGGAAAUAAAGCUGAGUAUUUCGAGAGGUUAUGUUGAG
RNAcentral lists this long non-coding RNA (614 nucleotides) under Malus domestica (apple). RNAcentral's name for it is "long non-coding RNA (MDOM_LNC004081)". Lineage: Eukaryota; Viridiplantae; Streptophyta; Magnoliopsida; Rosales; Rosaceae. The record is from RNAcentral.